CAACAGGACUGUCUCAACUUACCCCACUCUCCCCUACAGUGCGUGUGCUGAGGGAGUGUAUUUGACUCACAUCAUGUCAAGGCCAUCAUUCUUACUUUCACAGAGAAGACAUAUCAAUGCCUGCCCAUGUCGUCUUGCUGCUGGUAUUGCCAUGCUGUUUGGGUAAGUGGAGGACUGAGCUUUCUCUGUCUGCUGCGGCUGGUGAGCAAACGUUACAAAAACAGGUUAGCUCGUGACACUAGCAGCACCUAUAAACAAACUAGCUAGCAUUAGCCACCUUGGCAGAUGUCCCUUUUAAAUUAUAGUUUUUCUGAGGGAUGUCAGCAUUUUUCUCUGCCAUCCUGCUGAGCCAUAAAAACGCUAAUGCCGACUUUUCAUACCACCGGUUCAUUCAUACUUGUACGUACUUUACGUUUUGUCCAGUCCCAGUUUUUCCUCCUCGGGUAACUCCGAUGGGGUGCGAUACCGGCGGCCCCCUGGAGGGGCGCUGUGCUAGUUUAAGAAACAAAUGCAAACAGUAGAGUUAAACCGUAGUAGCAUUUAAAGUCGUUAUUUUGUCAUUAAGUAUGGUUCGUGAAAGUCAGCUGGCUGUUUAAGGGGUGAACAGCACAGUAUUUUUGGAGGCAAAGUGAGCUCAGGCCUGUUGUCUGUCCACACUUUUGUCCAUGGUUCAGAGGCUAGAGGUGGCACAAACAAGCUUUAUAUAUAUAUACACCCAACAGUCUAAACCAGAAUAUGACUUGUCAGAAGGUUGUUGUCUGGUAAUGAGCCUCUAAUUAAUUAAAAGUCAUGUAUCUGAAGUGGUGAAAUUAUCAGUGGGUGCAAAGAAUCAAAUGAACCUCACUAUUCAUUCAACAGGAAGACGUCAUGCUUCUAUACUACUAUUGCUUUGGAGUUUUUAUUGUAGUUCAGUUCUUCUACCUAUUGCCUAAGAUAAAUAACUUGUGGAUUACAAAUAGGUCAAUCAUUCAGUUUGUUCCCCCUGUAGCAGCUGUUUAAAAUCUGAGUUUCAACAUUUGAUCAUUGGUUUUAAGAAGCUUUCUCUGUUCACCUUUUAGAAACUAUUUGAUUCUCAAUCACCUCUCCCACAUUAGCCCAUUCAUUCAGGCUGAAUCAAUGCUAACUGCUGCCAUAUCUUUCUACUGUUGACAGACCAUACACGAGCAAAAUAUUUUUCCAAACGCUGACAAAUAUUCAUUAUUGUAUUGCACUCAGCUGUUAGAGCAAAGACCUUCAGGUUUCAUAGCAUGUUUUUCACUGCUCUUUCAUAUUUUUUCUAGGGGGUAGAAAUCACUAAAAGCAUAAAAAUGAGGAUUUAUAAAAGAGACUUCUAUCUCAACACAGCUUGCAUCCCAAGAUUUUUUUUCAGUGCGACUGCUACCACUUUGCAGAAAGCCACAGUGUUUUCAGAUACAGUGACACAGUGGCUUAUGAUAACCCACAGACCUUGUUAUUGACAGUUUUGUCCUACUGCAUGGAGAUGAACAGUUGGCAGGAAGUAGUUUUCAUACAGCUCACAAUGAGACAUUUCUGCAUUACCAUUGCUGUCUCGUUUUUUUUAUUUUUUUAAGAAAUGUUGCUGUUGAGCUUUUUAUCCUUCUAAGCUCUGAACACCACAGACCAAAUGCUGCUGUGUGAAUUGUACUGGAGUAUCCUACAGAAUACAUGGAAGAAAAAAAAGAAGCUCAGAGAAGAAGAAAAGUUUUUGUUGUCAUGUUGGGAAGACUGUGUCUUUAUACCACUGUGUUCAUGUGGGUAAUAGUAACAAAGAGUAUCCCCAUUGAAGUUCCCUUUAUUUAGAUUCAGAAGAAUCAAAAAGAGGGUAAAAGUGAACAUUUCCACUGGAGCUCGAGUCUUAGGGAAUACAAAGCUCGUUCACGACUGACAGAGGGCCCUGUGUAUUUCAGAGUCAGAGAGAAAAGUGUGCAUUAGCAUAUUCAUACCAAAGUUCCCUAAAGUGGCACAUAUGGAUGUAAAAAUGCUGCCAACUCUAUCAGCAGGGUAGUGAAUGUUGCAUGACUUGCAUUGUGUGCAUCUCCUCCUCCACCUCCUUUUAUUCUGCCCCUUGUGAGAUGAAUGCUAACUGGUCCAUAAGGGAACAGCACUCCAUAUUUACUUUAAUAGUGAUAGUAUACUGUACUCAUGCUUAUCUUUCAAACCCAUGAUACAUCAGUUAUUUUUUUCGUACCUUCUUCUUUUGAAUUUGCUCACAUGGCUAUUUUUUGUUUCCUUUAAUUGGAAGCCGACAGUGUUCCAACAGCUUUUGAUAAAACAUGUGCUUCUUACUUGCUGUGGGUUUUCAGACCAUGUUAAGGAUGGACACAGACACAUAAUAAUCGAUAAGUGACAAAUAAAAAAGAUAGCUAUUUUCUCGGGUCAACUUUUCUUGUCCUAAAAUAUGAAACAAAAUCUGUCGAGCUUAGUUCACAAGACUUCCCAGCCAAAUUUCCCAGUUUUGACUGCAGAACUUGUUGGCAUGGUUGGUAGUGUUCCUCUCAGUAGGGUGGCCAUGGUUUUUGUAUGUGUGUGUUUGUUUGUGCUUAUGUCUGUUUGCUGCUUGUGUGCAUGUGUUUGGCAGUGACUGUGAUUAGGAUGGAAAUAUGUGUUGGCUAGCUGACUUGCUAAAUUGUUCUAAAUGAGAACAAAUGAAAAAGGAGGCCAGGAAUAGAAGUUGGGGAUGAAUGGACACUGAAGAAGAUAAAAGGUUUAUAGAGCAGUGACAGCCAGUCCUGCAUGUGUGUGUCAGGCCUCUGAUGUUACAGGUGCUAUCGUUUAAUCCCUCCACUUUCUCAUAGCGCCAGUUGCACGUCCUCCCCCCCCUCCCUUCUCCAUCUUCAUGCCUGCUUGUGUGUUUGUCUGUGUGUUUCUCUCCUCUAUCGUCUCUGUUUCCUCCAGCCCGAGUAAAUGUCAGAGCAAGCUGCUGCUCUUCCCAGACCACGCCGUGGGAGACAGACCAACCUCAUCGCCGCGGCAACCCUCUGUUCUGGCUCAAAGAAAAGAGGCAAGGGCGGAGAAGAAAGGAACUUUUAUGCCUCUAAACCCCCACUAGUUUCCUCAUCCCCCCUCAUCCUUGUGCAUUGUAGCCCAGCCCUGAACCAUGUGGCCAAGCUCCCAGGCUUUACUGUGACUAGAGAGGAAGAAGAGAGGAGACUGCAAUUACUAAGUAGGUAACGAGGGAUUUCUAACAGUCGGUUAGAAAGUAAGACGUUUUAGAAAUAUUGGCAGGAAACUCUACAGGACAUUGCUCUUUUAACGAUACUUUAUAAAUAAAUGGAAAAAAAAAAUCUCUUCCAUUCGAAAAUAAAGAAACCCUGCCAAAGAAAUUUCUUAUAAGAGGAAAGAAAACUUCACUAGAAUUACCAGAAAGGCAGCGCAAGGAAAUGGCAAUAUUAGAUUUCCCAGAGCACUUCCUUGGCUUGGAGCCAUUGUAUUUGAUUUCAAUUUAUACCAGCAGGAGGCUGCCUGAUACUUUUCUUCUCUGGUAAUGGCUUUCUUCUCAGGCUUUCUUGUCACCUCUAACAAGAAGUGCACCUGAAGGGAUUUCAGUGGUCAUAAGGCGAAGUCGUAGGAGCCCGUCCAAGGACUGUCACUCAUAUCCACAGUUAGGCAAUUUUUUUUUCAAAACGGCACAAUCAGUUGUGGGACUAAGUUGAGCAGCAGAUAUGGCAGCAUUCAGCUAUUACCCUCCUUGAGGGGAAGGUGGAAGAAUGUUGGAAAGACAAAAACUGAGAGAGAAGGAUAGAAGUGUGGCAGUGCUGGUCAGAAGUGAGAAACCAUCUGGUUGUAGGUGAGGGACCAUAUUUAACGCUGGCUGAAGCCCAAUAUUGUGUCACUGGUGCAUCCAUUUUGUAGCCUGUAAAUACUUCUAUUUCCCACUCUAAAUGUUUUUAUUUUUCUCCUCUCAGUUUCUCAAUAUAGUUGUUUGCAGCAAAUAUUCACUAUAUUUACCAUCCUUGAAAUAUCAGUGAGCCAAAAUAUACACAAAACAUGGCCUGUUUUGUCUCUGCAGCAUUUUUUCUGCUCCACUAAUGUAAAAAUAUUUCUCUUAAUACAGCUCUUUUUAAAGUUCUUUAAUUAGAUAGCACAGAAAGAUUGCAUUUGACAUAGAGACUAACUCAUCUCUACUUUCCUUGACAUGAAAUUUUUGCAGUAUUUGCAUUUUAAUAGGAAUAUUUGUGUUUUUGGUAGCAGAGAGGGGGCUGUUCUGUCCAGUCAUAAUCUGUGAUUACACACAUGUGAUUAUAUUUUCCCUCAUUAGAGCUGAUAUGUGCAUGUGCAUGGAGGGAGACAAAGACAGGCUCUUUGUGAGAGCUGCAGCAGGUGUGUAGGACUGAAUUUCCAUGUGAGAUGGUCUGGAGGAUCUUGAUCAUAUGAGCUUCUUUUUUUGAAGAUAUGUGUGCGUGUAGUAUUGCAACCAUGUUCACUCUUGUGUGUCUGCAUGGACUGUGUAUGAAUAAUAGUGUUUUCUGCUUGGCUGGCCGUGCCGGUGUGUGCCUGUGUUCAGGUUGCACAUGACCCUGACUCUGCUGGGAGGUCCGUGUCUUUCAUGCCUCCCUCAAAUCUGGGUCAAAGGAUGAAAGAAUAACCCCUAUCUGCUAUGACACACCGGUCUGUAUGAAAAAUGACUUCCUGGAGGUUUGAGUGGUAACAAGGUGGCAUAGUGGAGGACACAACUUUUAAAAUUCACCUUAUAGAGCAGCAGACACACUGUCCUAAAUCGAGAUCCUGUCACCUCUCUCUACUGACGUAGUUCCUCACUGCACGAGGUACUCAUCUAGUCUUCCCUCAUCUCCUUUUUCCUGUCCCUCUCACUUUGUUUCAGCACAUCUCACAGCUGACCUUGCAUACACCAGAUGAGAACGCUGGAUUUGCAAGUCGACGGCAAGUCGAUUAGGAAUGCAGUGUGGCUCAGUGUCUCCUGGCAUCUCUAUGUCUGUCUCCCCUCGCUCUCACAGCUGUUCAUCUCUUUCUCUUGUAGACUUUCUUCUCUCACUCAGUAAGCCUCUCCAACAAUGCUGCUGCUCUGAACCCGCUUCAACCCUCAGAGGAGGGAAAAGCCAUGCCGGGGCAUUUGUGCAUGUCAGUGUAUGUGCAGGCAAGCAUGAUUAUAUGAGUGAGUGUAUGUGUGUGUCUCUUUGUGUGGCAGCUAGGAAAGGUAGUUUUUGCCAAAGAACAGAAUGAGCAUCCUAAGUUCCCUGCAAACCGAGUGGUGGCUGUCAUCGAGGUCUUCUCUUAAAAAGAAUAAAGAUUUUAAAAAAAGGGGGAAAAAAAAGGGAAAUAGGAAAUUGUUCCUGCACUGGGACACUCCUCUCUGCCUCUCUCACAGCUUCAGCCCUGUGGGCUUCAAGCUUGAAGCAGGGCAGAGUGUGCAGAGGAUGUUAAGACCUACUGCCUGUCAUAGAUAAAGGCUGCAGACCUCCUACUAGCAGUGGGACACAGCCAUCUGGGAGGACCACUUGCAGUGCCUCAUACCCAUUUGACCCCCUGUUGCACACCCUUGUAUUGACGCACACUCAGCCUCCUUAGAAGCCCAUGCUGGGCAAAGCAGGACACUGUCGGAUUGAUGGAGAGGUCCCCACGAUACGUUUUUGUCUCCGGCAACUUUUACAAAACAUUCAAAACAGACCCUCCUCAUUACUCCCAACACUGUGUUCAUUCUCUCCCCACCUCCUCUUUGUCUCCAACCCUCCACAGCUUGAGCAGCAUACUGUUUCUGGACCAUUCCCUGUUGAUGGAAAAAGGGGGUUACUCAUUUGUCAUUGUGUGAACAGUCAUCGCUGCCUGCUAGGGGUUCAUAAUGACAGAGAGAUGGUUUGCUCUGUCAGCAAGACCUAAAGUGGACCAAAAAAAAGGGGGCUAUCUCAUACUUCCUGAAAUACCAGCGAAAUAAGCAUUUAAAUUACACAGAUGUGCCAUGUGCUUGCCUCCAUAAAUAUUAAAAAUCAUGGUUUGCACUUUUCCUAGUUUUUUUGAAGAAUGCUUUUGUUCUGUCUUUCACACCCUCACUUGUUUCUUUUGUUAUAUUUUGCCCUAAACUGUGCAGAAAUGUAAAUUUAAUGAUGAGGACUCUCUGUAGUACACUCAAGCUUGAUUAUUUAAACAGCACCAAGCUAUCAGCAGAGAAUUGUAUCUACAGAACUCUAAAGAGACCGUUUGCUCUUUCAACAAGAAUUUGUCUCUAGCCUCUCUACAGUAAUGUUUAAAACCACCCACAUUGAAUAUAUAAUAUUUAAAAAAAAAACACAUAUUUCAAUUAUUAACCUGCUUGACAUUGAGAGCUACUUUCUUCACUUUGUUAUUCUUCUGGGAUAACUUCAUGUUCAAGAAAGCCAGAUGUGCUUAGACAUGUAAAUGACUACAAAAGAUAAUGUGCCUUUUAUGGUUAUAGCUCCGUGGUCCGUGGUCAGUUAUAUGAGAACUUAGUUACUGAAUUUAAGAGCAUGUCGCUGUCCAACAGAAUAUUUGAGUUUACCAGGAUCAGAAAUGUCAUUAAUGUGCUAUGUGGUAUCAGUGAGAAAACCAGUCAAUGCACCCAUCCAAUACCUCAGUUAAUACGCCCUUUAAGAAAUUACUUUAUCUCUUCUUCUCCAAAAUAAGUAUCUACACAGAAUUACCAUGAAAUAUAGCUGCAACUACACAGUGCUUUACUGAAACAUCCACAGCAUAUGCCAGGAUACUUAUCAAGUGAUGGUAGAAAACAGUCAUCUCAGCUUGUUUCUAGGUGAGAAUUCAUUCAGUGUCUUUAGCCAGGUUGCAUGACAAUGAUACCAAAACUGUUUAAGUAAUAUAUCAAGUCUUUUGUAUUGGAAUGGUGGGUACUUGGGAUUUACCUUGUUGAAUUCAAGUAUUGGAAUCAUAACCAGUAAGCAUCACUUCACAAAAUCAUUGUAUUUAGUAAAGUAUUGAUAGUUAAAUUACUUUUAGUCUUGAGUCAUUCUAAGAAGCAUUUACCUGCAACCCUGGAGCAGAGGCCCCUGGUGACGUUUCUGGAAAAGUCGUAGAUGACAAAUUUCCUUCCAGUAAUUAGACUGAAUGACUCAAAAUUAUGUUUAAAGCUGCAAUGAAAAAUAAUUAUUUAAUUAUAUAAUUGAAUCCAGGUAUACCCCCCUCAUAUGAACAUGUACUGUACAUUUUGUUUUUAUUUUAAAAAAAGGUAUGUAAGCAAGUAAACAGUUGUGAUAAAUUCCAAAAUUAGCGAAUACUUUUUUCCCAGUGAAUUUCCAUUGAAUCGUCCAUCCAUCCAUCCAUCCAUCCAGGUCAGGUCGCGGGGGCAGCAGCCUGAGCAAAGAAGCCAAGACUUCCUUCUCCCCAGCCACUUAGUCCAGUUUCUGGGGGACCUUAAGGCGUUCCCAGGCCAACUGAGAGACAUAGUCUCCAUUGAAUUAAUCUUAAAAAGUUAAAUUCAUGAAAUAUCAUUCAAAUAUCAGUCAUCCCAGAACCUGUGCUCAACCAGGCAGCAAAGUCUGGUCCCUCUGAAUUUUCUGCCAUUUUUACUCUAUUUAUUUAUGAUUUUGUUGUGUUUUGUCAACUGCAGGUGGAUGUUUCUGCUGUGAGAGGAGUUUGUUCAGGAGAGGAGCCUCUUUCAUUGAGACGGAGCAGGUCUGGAUGACGGCAUCCAGUUCCAGUGGACAUCUGGAGGCAUUAUCGAGGUUGCCAUGCUGGUGUAGAGGUGAAGGCAAAGAUGAAGGCCAGGAAAUGAAAAUAUAAGCCCGCCGGAAACAAACUCUUUGUUCAGUGUGGAUCUGCCUGUUUUCACUCUCAUAAGGUCAGUCAGAGAUGCUAAAGCUAGUGGCAAGAAGUAAGGAGGGGGUCUAGCUUUCUCUGUUAACCAGAGAUGGUGUAACCUUUCACAUAUAACUGUCAAGGAGAGGAUGUGUUGUCCAGAUAUUGGACUGCUGGCUGUUGCUCUUCAGCUAUAUUAUGUUCCAAGGGAGUUCAGUCAUAUCAUAACAAUACUUGUAUAUAUCCCACCCAAGGCAACGGCUGAAGUUCCAUGUUUGGAUUCAAGUUUCAUUUGAUUGGAAUGAAGUUGGACUCACUAGAGGAUGUGAUGUAGUAGCCUGGCUGGGCCAUCCAGUUGCGUGAAUCACUUGCCGUUCCUUCCCACAAGUGAUUCACGCAACUGGAUGGCCCAGCCAGGCUAGUGAUGUAGAGAUGCACACUGAGGAAACUAGAGGCCAUUCAAAAAAACAUGGAUCAUCAACUUCAUGACACCUUGAUGGACCAAAAAAACAGUGAUGAUCUAUUAGCUGCAGAAUGAAGAGAUUCAGAAGAUCUUUUGAACCCACAGCCAUCAGAAUUUUUAAUUCUUCUAUAAAUAGUAGAUGAGAUGAGAUUCUAGACUAGUUAAUUUCCCUGUGGGGAUCAAUAAAUUUCUUGUAUUGUAUUGUAUUGCAUUAUUCAAAACUUUGAGUUAUUUCACCAUCUAAAGAUGUAGGUUCAUUAUUAUUAUCCAGGAAGUCCAAUCCUGUCACAAGAUUCAUCACACAUUCACAUACAUGUUAAUUAUGAUUUUUGAGUCCUAUCUCAGAUACCCUCACCGGCCUCUGGAACCUAAUUAAGCAGCUUGAGUGUGUGUGACAGCAUCAUCUACAGAAAUAUUUAACUGGUCUGAACAGCGCACACAAAUCCUGAAAAAGAUGGGACGGUCAACAUGCUGCUGAAAAAGGCGUACUGAGACCUGGAGAAAGGCGAGCAGAUAGCUGUACAAAUCUGCCCCCCAGUUGGUUUCUCCUCUCCAGUGACUCAGGUGCUGAUCUCCUUCUAUCUUUACCAGCAGCACCACAAGGAGCAAGAACACAGAGCUAUCCAGGGAAAUUACCCUGUCGACAGACGGCACAUUGAGACUUCGUUAGCACAACCAUCCAACCUAGUGCCUCUCCAGCCUGAUCGAACUGAGCAACUCUCCAUGACAGAGUAAACAAAGCAGAAUCACCGGCAUGAUGAGGAAAAGAAGGUCUUUUUCAUUUGAUUCAAUUGCUGCAAAUCCCUGAAUACCCAUGUGGUUUUGUGUAUCAUAAACUUCAAUGAGGGUAUGUGAGUGGAAAGCCACAAGUGGAAAUAUGUCCCUUUGUUCUUAUUAUGAAUCUAUAUCUUUGCAUGUAUGCGUUUGUGUGUUUUUCUGCAUAUGUUUUUGUUUGUGCGUGUUUUUUAUGAGGGUAUUUUAUAUGUAAAUUUGACUUUCUGCAUGCGAUGCACCUGUAUACAAUGAGUCCAUAUUGAUAUUUACCUUAUAAUGGAUUUUCUAGGUGGGGUGUUUGUAUUCAUGCAAAUAUUUGUGUAUGUGUGCUUCUCUGUGCGUGUGUGUCUGUUUGUGUGCUUCAGGCAGAGGAGAAUGUCUGUGUUGAGUAAAAAGAAGAAGCGGAGGAGAGGUAUAAGUCAGAGCCUGUGAGUAAACAACCUGCAGUAGCUACAGCUAGUGUCAGUCUUCCUACCUCGCCUCCAUGGCUGCCGUGCCUUCCUCCUUUACUUUCCAUCCUCUGCGCUUAAACAAACACACACAGCAAUUGUGCUGCCAAGUUACUGAAAAACUCGUUCAGCAAACUUCCGGGCUCCUGCAACUCUGCUCAGCUUUUUGUGCCUAAAUUGAUAAUUGAAUUGACUAUCGCCAUGUAAUCAAUUAGGGUGUUCAUCCCCGGCUCUGAUUCAAACAGUUAAUUGGCUUGUGCCACAGAGAGGCUGAGACGAAGAGCUGACUGGUGCAGGAGGGACUGUUGGAUUACUACAGAUGGGCUCAGACCUAUUUGCAUUGUGUCUGACUUUAAGUCCUUGAUUGCCUUUCCUGGUUCAGAAAUUGCCUGGAUGCGAGCAGCACACAGGUUGUAAAAGGACCUCGGUGACAAAUUCUGCCUGUUUAAGUGAAGAGGGUGAGGAUACAUAUAGAGUGUGCACAGCGGG
RNAcentral lists this long non-coding RNA (9897 nucleotides) under Xyrichtys novacula (pearly razorfish). The record is from RNAcentral. Lineage: Eukaryota; Metazoa; Chordata; Actinopteri; Labriformes; Labridae.